Equus caballus (horse) is the source of this 97-nucleotide non-coding RNA. Lineage: Eukaryota; Metazoa; Chordata; Mammalia; Perissodactyla; Equidae. The record is from Rfam.
GAGGCUGGCGGCUGGGUGCCUUCUACUGGUGCUGUGCAGAGGCUUUCCCUAAGGCUGCUGUGAGCCUGUAGGGUUUCCCCCUAGGCUACUAAGCUGG